AGGGAUGUGGCGCAACUUGGUAGCGCGUUUGUUUUGGGUAAAAAAAUGUCACGGGUUCAAAUCCUGUCAUCCCUA
Molecule: non-coding RNA, 75 nt
Organism: Capsicum annuum
Lineage: Eukaryota; Viridiplantae; Streptophyta; Magnoliopsida; Solanales; Solanaceae
Source: Rfam